Molecule: ribosomal RNA, 233 nt
Filed under: uncultured bacterium
Lineage: Bacteria
Description: partial 16S ribosomal RNA
Rfam family: Bacterial small subunit ribosomal RNA
Source: RNAcentral
CAAUCUGCCUUGGAGUGGGGAAUAACGGUUGGAAACAGCCGCUAAUACCGCAUGAUGUAUCUGUGUCGCAUGGCACUGGAUACCAAAGAUUUAUCGCUCUGAGAUGAGCUCGCGUCUGAUUAGCUGGUUGGCGGGGUAACGGCCCACCAAGGCGACGAUCAGUAGCCGGACUGAGAGGUUGGCCGGCCACAUUGGGACUGAGACACGGCCCAGACUCCUACGGAAGGCAGCAG